Long non-coding RNA from Sarcophilus harrisii (Tasmanian devil), 1680 nucleotides. RefSeq lists it as uncharacterized. The transcript has 3 exons. The record is from RefSeq and is a predicted model, not a curated record. Lineage: Eukaryota; Metazoa; Chordata; Mammalia; Dasyuromorphia; Dasyuridae.
AUGAUUUCAGUUGCCAAAAAAAAGUCAUUUACAAGCAGCUCUUCCUAUGUCCAAUUAAGCAAUAGCCAAACAUGUUAGAGAGAGAAGAAAAGCUUCUGUAGGGAAAGCAGGAGCAACGUGAGAGAGAUAGAGACCUGGUGCACUCCACACAAAGGAAAACAAAAAGAAUGUGCAGAGAACUCUAAGGAAAAGCUAAGGAAAACAUGAAUCCAUUCCAAAAAAUCCAGCGAAUGUGAAGAGAUUCGUAUCAACCAAUACCAUCAUCCAAAUGGUUCAAAUUCUGGCUCUGUUUCUAACUUCUGUGUGUCAUUAGGACAGUGAUAAAGAAUCUUGAUUUUAGAGUUGGAAGGUAUAUUUUGAAGAAUGGGAGAAGUAAUGAAGAAUUAGAGAAAAGUAAGUCCUGAUUUUCAAAAAUUAAAAAAAAGAAAUGUAGUCUCUGUAAAUAAUAGUCCAGUCAAUAUGGCUUUUAUUCUUGGAAGAAAAUCUAGAACAUAUUAAAAACAUGCAAAUUAAUGAAAAUCUGGAAAAGAAAGAAAUAAUCAUAACAAUUAACAUAGUUUUGUUAAUGUGCCCUCUUUUGACUGAAUUAACAGAGCAGAAUAUACCUGUACAUUUACAUCUAUGCCAUUCACCUGAACCUUGUUGGACAAAAUAUUUCAUUUCUUUGUGGAAAAAACUAAAGCAGAUGAUGGUAGAAUUAAAUUGUUUCAGAACCAGCUGAAUGGCCAUACUCAAAGAAGUGUCUUUAAUGGGUCUGUGCUACCUUUCAUGCUUUCUUUGAUUGUCUUGGAUGUUGAGUUUUGUUCUUGUGCUUUUUAUCAUUUUUUUAAAUAAAUAAAUAACCCCCAUGACACACUUGUCAAAUUCACAUUUGAUAACAUAGAGGGAUAGCUAGAAUUUGACUUAUGGAGUGAGAAUUCUCAGUUCACCUGCCCCCAAAAUCUUCACAAGCUGGGAUGGGGGACUGGAACUCAUAAAUGUAAUUUGAGAGAUAAAUAUAAAAAUCUCAUAAUUUGGUUUAAAAUCUUCCUCUCCAGUACAAAAUUGGGAAAUAUAAUUAGACAAUCAUCCAUCUGAUAAAAUCAUGGAUUUAAGUGAGUCAUGACUCAAAAGUAUGAUAUAACAGUCAAAAAAGUUUAUGUAAUAUUAAGGCUACCUUGAAAGCCAUAGUAGCCUGAACUAGGGAGAUUAUAAUUCUAUGGCAAUUAAGAGAAACCAUUACUGAUAGGUAAUUAUGUGGGGGAGGUCAAGACUUUUUUUCUGUCCUAUCUUCUUGUUCAGAAUCUAGCAUUUAAAAGACAUUACUGACCUCUGCAAAAAAUAUAUUCCACCUAGAAGUCUUAUCUAAGAUGAAUUGCUACCAUUGUGUUCCACUCAAACAAGUAGGGUUGGAGUUAGAUCUUUGUCUAUAUUGCACAAGUGUUGGGAUAGAGACAUAGCCUCUUUGUCCAAGAGUGACAUGAUAUCACUUUCUUAAGGCAUCAUUAGAAUGAGUCCACUUCUAAUUGUAAUGUUCAUUCUCAUUAAUUUUUAACUAAUCAGUAUUGACUUCCCCCUCUGAAAUUCUAACUUUAUGAAGUGCACAUAAAACUUGAACCCUUUGCCAUAAAGAAUUUUUAGCAUUUGAGAGCUCCACUAAUUUCUUUUGUUAAUAAAAAGCUAGUGUUAAUAAAAUAAUAA